RNAcentral lists this long non-coding RNA (14625 nucleotides) under Salvia miltiorrhiza (redroot sage). Its description in RNAcentral is "long non-coding RNA (SMIL_LNC007525)". The record is from RNAcentral. Lineage: Eukaryota; Viridiplantae; Streptophyta; Magnoliopsida; Lamiales; Lamiaceae.
CGGGCCUUCCUCAUGGUCGCCUCGGUGGCUUGAUCGACACUUCUCGGAGAGUGCGCGAGCUUCUGAACCUUGCUCUCCGAGCAAGGUUCGUCUCCGCCCGCGACAUCUUUGUCGUGGGCCGGGGGCAUGUCCCGGCCAAUCCUCCCCUCGGGCGGGGACAACGAGCCCUCCUCGUUGCCCCCGAAGCCGAGGUCCAUGAACUGCCUAGGCACCAAUAGGCCAUUGUCAUGGCCAUUCUUACUUUCCUCUGCAGUAGCCCCUCCAGUUUGAUUAUCACUACGCUGAUGCAUCAUUGUUAACACAUGCAUCUGCAGUCCAUUGUAGUUGUUAGUCAUUUGAUCCAACAUCUCCUUCAAACGAGCAUUCUCCGAAUUCAUCCUCUCCAUUUCCGAUUGAAGAAACGCCAUCUGUCACAAAAUAAAUUCGAUCAUCCAUUGAUUAAUACAAGAUUUUAUCACCUAAAAGAGUUUCAAAAUCAUUGAUGACGACGAAACGCGAUUCAAUUGGUAAAGAGUAAACCCUAACACACUUCUGAGACGAUUCUCCUUCAAUCAGUAGGUCGGAAGAUUUCAAGAAUUAUUCUCCGGAAUAAUUCCAAUAAUAUUCCUCGAUAUAUCUUACCUCGAUUUUCGAUCUUUUAUUCUCCGGAAUCGAGGACAUCCCGUCGUCGACUCCGGACUCUUCGCUGCCGGUGUUCGCCGUCGUAAGAAGAUGCAAACCGGUCUGCCGAAAGAGAAAAAGAAAUCAAAACCCACCUAAAAAAAAUCCCAGAAAAAAGAAAAAGUAAAGAAACACACAUUGACUUUAAAAUCCAAACGGUGAUGCUCAAUCCCGACGUUCUCCUCCUCCUCGUCAUCGCGGCCGCCGCCGCUGCCGCCCUCGUUCUUGUCGGCGAAGAAAUCCGUCUCGUCGAGGACCUUCCUCUUCCCGUGAUCGCCGUGGCUGACGGGGGCGUCCAUGAGCGGCGGCGACGGCGGUGGCGGGGGUGGAAACCUAGGUAGAAUCUGCUGGAGCUUGAGCUGGUUAUUAUGGAAGUGGGUUUUGGCUUGAUGGUGAAACAGUCUGGUGAUACUGUGGUGAUCUGUCAACAUUGGCUUGAUGAGCCCAUCCGUCAAAGUCGUGGUCGAUGUAAGAGCCGCUUUCAGUAUGCUUAAACCCUAGACCAACAAAAAUGUCAUCUAACAAAUUAUAAAUUUGGUCGAUUUUUGGUUUUGCACACCAACUUUACAACUGGUAUAAAAACAACACAAACUUUGAGAUUUUCAUCCAAAAUAAUUUGCCCAAUGGCAUAAAUCGCGCAAGUUGGCUUCGAUGUGGCACUGCUACGAUUGGAAUUUAUGCCACCGAGUUGCAACGCCAACUUUAAUUUUUGCGGAAAUCUCAAUCGUGACAAAAUUACUACAGUUGUCAAGUUGGUGUGGAAAACCAAAUACAAGCCAAAAUUGGUGUAUUUUAAUGCAAAUACGACGACCAAUCUUACCUCUUCCAACCCGAUUUCCAGCUCUAGUUCCACCACAUCAGAUAGAGCGACCUUCAUCUCGUUGAUAACAGAAACACAAGAGGUUAUACUCAAUGGCGUAACAGUUAGAUCAUCACUUACCAUAUACAUGCUUGAUCCCUUGACAUAAUCUUUAUUUUCACUCAAGGCAAAAUUGAGAGGAAGAUACUCGUUACAAAAACCAUUGUGAGAAGUCCUCUCUCUAGAAGAAGUCUCAUUAAACAUGGUCGGUUUGAAUAGCAUAUCCUUUGCCUCUGUAGUCAUAAUAUUAUAGCAGUACAAACUAUCCGGUAUGCUCCGGUGCAAAUUAUCCGUGGUCCUAACGCCGGUGUUGCUGUGCAAAAACCAUUCCACCCUCCCUAGAGGAAUGGCGAGUAAGCCAAAUAGAAAACUAACAAAAUCAUGACGAGCCUGAGCAAACAGCAACUUAUUUGUAGAUUUCUGCAUCAUGGCUGUCAAAUGAAUCUUCUUGGGGUUCAUACAAUGGGCUCGCUUGCCAAUCUGAUUCACGGCGUUCCCCUGUCUGGCUGCUCGUCUGGUCGGGGUCCCAAUGAGGAGUGCGGUAAGUGGAUUUUGAGAAACAAACAUCAUCCCCAUUAAACUCAUCAUCUGAUCAAUACAAAGACAAGUGAAUGUUAUGCUACAUACGUUAUGUCAGCACCAUUUCUCGUUUAGUCCAUGCUAGCAUUAUUUUUUUGUUUUAUAUAUUUAUUUUGAUUCUAAUAUCUCAAAAAUUAUUAUUGAAGCCAUUAAUUUUACAAAUUACAUAAAAAACAAAGCUCGAUUUGUUCAUUCUCCCUAUAACUUCAAUUUCAAAUAAACAAAUAAAAGAAUAAAAUGAGCUUUGAUUUUUAUGUAAUAAUGACGUCAAUAACUAUUUCUGGGUAUUAGAAUCAAAAUAAAUGUAUAAAACAAAACAAAAUGCUAAUGUGGACUAAACGAGACUGACAUUUCGGGGGGCCUCGGCGAAAACCAAAAAAAUGGGCCCUUAAGAAAAUGAAAUUUUGAAAAUCUUGUUGCCAACUAGAGAUAACAUAUAAUGGUCUUCUAUGUUUGCAUGAGUACUGCAUAAUUUUAAUAUUAACUAUAAAGUGCCAUAAAUCAUAAACACUCAUCAAAUAACUAUUGAUAAAAUCAAUAGUUAUUAUCAAUAGUGUAAGAUUGAUAAAAUCAAUAGUGUAAGAUUGAUAAAAUCAUAUUAUUAUCAAGAUCAAGUUUUUCUAAUACCUCAUUUUCAAUGCAAUUCUAGCAUAAUAGAAUGUAAAAUAUGAUUUUAUCAAUCUUACACUAUGAUGAUAUAUUCGCACGUACAAUCCUACUAGUUAUUCUGAAAGGAGACUACUUUGAGAAAUAUACAAAUUCUAACCUCAGCGUAUCCGAAAUCCAGAUCACAUAUCUCAGCCCCAUCCAUAUCUGUGAUAGCAAUGCCAAGGCUGCGGAGAGUAGACAUGACAGAACCUUCCACACUACGCAUUACCUUCAAAUCAUCGCUGAUGAUGAAGGAAGCUGUAGUUUCGGUGAAGACCUCAUCAAGUGGAAGCUGUUCGUCUUCAUCGAGACUUGUUGGAUUAAGCAGCAAGAUCUUAGCAUCCUCAGUCAGGAAAUGGAUGGUGUCGAGAUUUGCUAAGCCGUUGUACAGAGUUUUCAAGCUUCCAGCUAGGAGCACCUUCUCUCCAAACUGCUUCUUCAAGACCUUCACAAUCGUUCCCAAUGGAAGAGGCAGGAAGCUUAACAAAGCGUCUACGAAAUCGCUGCCGGCUUCUGCAAAUAGUACCUUGGUUUUCCCUUUAUUCAUUAUUAACUUGACAUGAAUCUUUUCUUCCUCCUCAGACAUUCUCUGUGACAAAAUUUUGGACUGAUUAAAUCAGGAAUGCUCAACAAAAUAUUGCAAUUUUUUUAAAUUUAUUGUCAUAACCUACAUUAUUACACAUAAGAAAUUAGAACUUGCUUUGAAGAUUAUGAUUUGACAUUUGGGAUAAAAGUUUUCUUCCCAAGCAGCACUAGUUCUUACUAAUUCUUAAAAACCUUACCAUCAAACUAUUUCUCCAAAAGCUAUUAUCUCAAUUAUCCUAAAUGGCAAACCAAACACAAAAGAUACAAAUAUCUAGUAACCUUAAAGAGUUGCAAGAGUUGCAUUGCUGCUUGAUAUUUGUGUUCUUACGUAAGCAUUCACUUUCCACAAACACCUGGUGUGCAUUACGAUUUUAACUUUUGAUUCUGAUUAUGCCGUUUUGAGAAAUUCUCAAUUCACAAUUUUAGUCAAACAGUUCCAUUAAAUAAGAAUAACUGAUAAACAAUGAAUAUAGACACAAACAAAUCUAUACAUACCUUGUUACGAAUUGGGGAAUUUUAGUUGCUUUGAAGUGUUUGCAGAGAAUUGAGAAAAGCAGCAGUCGCAAGAGUUUGGGCGGUCAAGCGAAUUUUAUAGAGGCUGUGAAAAUAGGGAAAAUAUCGUAUAAUGUCCCAAUUUUAGGUCAAAUAUAAAAAAACAUCUCAACUUCUCAAAAUAGUGGAAAAUAGGCCCUAAAAAAUAGUGGAACAUAAAUACUACUGUAAAAAUAAUAAUAUUUCGCAACUGAUAAAAGAUAUAAUUAUGUAUUUUUUAUUCUCAUUAUUAGGAUAUUUUCAAUGGCACUCUUUUAAUGGAUAUGAAUUAAUCAAAAUUAGCUCAAAUGAUAAAAAUUAUCAAGGGCCUUAAAUAUUUUAAAGUUCCAAUAUAUCUUAAUAUAUACUCCCUCCAUGCCGGCUAUCUUGAGACCUUUUCUUUGGCACAAGAACUAAGAAAAUAGUGUUUUACGUGUAGGUGAAAAUGUGAAUAAGGAUAAAUUUUUUGUCAAAUAAGGAAAUAUCUCAAGAUAAGUGAGACGCCCAAAAAAGAAAGUGUCUCGAGAUAGAUGGAACAAAGGGAAACAAAUUUAGCCUUAUUCUAAUUGUUAACUAGCAUUAAUGUUAACCUUCAAAAGCAAGUUCAAGUUUGAUUUAUAUAGUAUUGUCGACAAAUUCAAACUUGGUUUUUUACAUAACAUAUUCAAAGUUUCGAAGUUUAAUCGAAUAUAUAUUAUUUGAAAUAUAUAUACACCCAAACCAUUACUUCUUUAUGAGAUAAAAUUACUUAUUUUGGGGGGAAAAAGAAAUAGGAGAAGAAGAAAUAUCCAUUUAAAAGAAAUUAAUGUUAGAUUUUAAAUUCAAAAAGUAGUUAAAAAUAAUAUUUUUGUAAGCAUGACUAAAAUAAUACAUUUGUUAUUAAUAUCAAAAAGGUUUAUAUACACUAGUUUCAUGAAUUAACUGUAUUGAUUUCGGUAAAGAAUUUUUGAACAACAUCUAUUUACAAUAGUAUGCAAGAUAUUGUAAGCUAUUAUUGAAUUUACGGUGAAUCCUCGUGCAUUAAAGAGAUUAAAAAAUCUAUAAUGUUUUGCAAGAGUUGCAUUGUUGCUUGAUAUUUGUGUUCUUUCAGAGACAUUAACUUUCCACAUACACUUGGUGUGCAUUUCAAUUUAAUUAUGGCGUUAAAUUCUCAAUUUUAGUUGUACUCGAACAGUUCCAUUUACACUUUCCUACUGCAGGUGCCCACCAAUUUCAUUAAUUAAAAUUAACUGACAAAUAAUAAACACACAAAUUAAUAAACUACCUAGUUUAGUUAAAGUGUUUGCAUAGAGAAUUGAGAAAAGUAGCAAUCACAAGAGUUUGGCAGUUAAGCAAAUUUUGUAGAGGUCGUGAAAAAAAGAUUAAAUAUUCAUUGGAACUUUCUUUAUCAUAAACUCAAAGACAAUGCAGAAUCAAAAACUCAGUUUCAAAAUAAAAACCAAUACAAGAUCUUACCCUACAGCAGGAAAAUUCUUCUACACAAUUGUGAAACAAUUCAUUUGAUUGAUGCUUUAAAUUUGUGUUCUAACUUUUAGUAAACAUUUUUACAAACAUGUGGUGUUCAUUUGGAAUUAACCUUUGGAUUUUGUUUAAUUUAAUUAAUCGAAAUACAUAACGGCGUUUUCACACAUUCUUGAUUCUAGUCCGUACAAUUUCUUUUGAUCAAAACACCUCUUUUUACCCAACACUAGCAUUUGCAUCCCGUGCAAUGCAAUGCACGGAAAAGAUUUUAAAUUUUUAUAUUUAUAUAAAAUUAAUACUAAUUCAAUUGUUAUACUUAUAAAUAUAAUAAAAAAAAUUAAUUUUAAUUGAAUAUAUUUGAAUUGAAUAUUGACAAAAUAAAAAAGAAUUCACAAUUAAAAAAUUUGAUUUUGAAAACAAAAAAAAAGUCAAAAAAAUUAUAAAUAAAAUACUAAUUAAAAAUAAAUAAAAAUAGAUUUAUUCAAAAAAAAUGAGAGAGGAGAGAGAAAUUUAUAAAACUUUAACAAAUUCAAUUUUUACAUUUUAAAAUCAAAUAUUUUCAUAAAAUAUAUCAUAUUAAAACUCUUAUCAUGAUCUUUAAUUUGAUAUGCAUAUUAAAUAUUUUAUAAAUAAUUGAUAUUUCACAAUUUUGGAAAGAAAUAUUGUAACAACAAAUAAAAAGUUAAAGAAAAUGAAAAUAAAAAGAAAAAUACAUAGUUUAAACAUAAAUCUUCAAUUUUAUUAUAACUACAAAAUUGCUACUCAAUUUUAAAAUUAAUUUGAAAUUGAUUUCAAAUUGGAAACUCCCUUUUUAAUAUAGUAUAGGGCAAAUUACAUGAAUUUAAUAAAUGGUUGGCUGAUAUAUUUUGAGUGGAAAAAACAACCCAUUAAGUUAAUUUGUUAGAUAAUUAAUAAAUAAUUAUUCGUUAUUUAAUAUGAGGUCAUUUACAAAAAUAUAAAAACCACAAUUUAUAUAAAUUGUCGAAAAUGACAAAAAUACCACACUUAUCGUGAACGGAGAAAUAUAAUUUAGAAAGAAAAGGAAAUAUUCUUGACCGGAAUUGUAUAUAUAAUAUUAUGUAUAUCCCGUAAAAGGUUUAAAUUAUUUGAUUUACAGAAUCACAUAAGCUGAAUAAACUCAUGCAAGUAGAUACAUAUAUGUCAUACAACAGCUUCAAAUAUUGAAGAAUUAAAGCUGGUAAUAAUAAGGCAAGAAUUAUUUCAAGCAGCUUCAGCAAACCCAACCUUCAUAUUCCCAUAGUCGAAGACGGUGUGAUACUGCGCCAUGAAAACAUCCCCCAGAAUCCUGCAUCACAGCACCAAUAUAAGUCGAGGAACGAGCGAUCGCACAGCCGUAGAUUUGCAUCACAAAGAAGGGAAGAAAUUACCAUAGAGGGCCGCGGGGUGGGGCCACGUCCAAGGCUGUGAAUCCGCUGAUGCACUGAGCUACGUCGCCCUCGCCGACUUUCAGGACGUACUGACCGGCAAGAAUACAAGCACGACGAUAGGUUAGGGUAGUUUUAUCGAGAAAACGAGAAGAAAUCAACUUAUGGAAAGGAAUACAUGAAAUAUAGAGCUAGAUGCAAUGAUGCAAUGUCAAAUUCACGACGAUCCUACUCAGCUUUCAGGUGUCGAAAAGUUUGUGAUAUAUUUGAGCAUCGCAAAGACUCCUAUGAGGACGUCGUCUCAAGUCAAUUAUCAUUAAGAAAAGUGACAAUUAUCGUGGAAAAAAAAAAGACAUUUACUCUAGUGUGCGUGUGUUAGGCCUAUGGUAGAAUGGUUAAUGUCUGAGGCCAAAGGUAUCAGGUUCGAAUCCACCGUUACGCGGUUUUUUAAAAUAUCUGUUUCUCCUAUCCAUAAAAAAGGCAUUCAUUCUUAAUCCUCUAACUAGAAAGAGUCAAUUAUCCUAAAGAAAAGUAUCAAUUAUAACGGAAAAAAAUAUGUGAAAUGUCAUAUCUAUCCGUCAGACGAGAGUUCAUCUCUUUUGAGUAAUUAGCGUAACGUUAACUAGCGUAUGACACCCCGAGGAAGGUCAUGCGGGGCAUUACUUGUAGAUAAGGGAGAACUAAGAUUAAAUGAUGCAAGACAAAGACCAUGACGAAUUGACGAUUAUGAAGGUAAAAAGACAAGGGCAAACAGCAGAAUACUUAAAACGAAAAAGGACUAGAUGUAUCGAACCUGCUCCGGGGUGAGAGCAAAUGAUUUACCACCAAUGGUAAAGGAAACAUUGGGCAUUGAAGAAAGGGCAUUGCAGUCGACAGAUGAUUCGCCCAUCGGACUGGGAAGCCGAUCACAGAGCUAUAGUUUAAAGCAACGAUCAGAACCCAAAAGGAAGAAAAUAGAGGAGGAAAAUACUUUACCAAAAUAGAAUUGAAUUAUCAUUAAAUUCUACCUGAUUAAUAUAGUCCAGAAUCAUUUCUUGUGUUUCGUUCCGCCUGAGUUGGUUUUGCAUCCAUACGACUGCCAUUUCGCAAACCGUGCACAUUUCAUCACGGAGGCCGGGUGAAUUGCUUUCCUUGUCCACCACACUCUCAAUAAUCAUACUGAAUGUAGUUUCGCAAAUAACUCGUGUCAACAACAAAAAUAUGCUAAAAGCUUCUAACGAUAAAGAUGAAGAUAUGGCGUGAGUAAUAUUUAAUCUUUUUAAAAAUAUAUAUAUAAUUCGAACGUAAAAGGAGAGAAGGAACCCGACCUAACAUCUCGAGUGCCAUCAGAGGAGCACAAACCAACCUGGAGCAACCUUCUGAGGUUCAUUCUGUAAAUAGCAACACGAGAAACAGAUCUCGUUAGCUGUAGUUAUAGAAAUACGAUAUUCUGGGCAGGGGAAAUACAGCCUCACUCACCUCAGACAACAACAUUUCCAAUAUGGUUUGCCCAUAAAGGGAAACGACGGACUUGCAUUCCUGGCUUACGACCCCAGCAGCUCCGAUUUCAUGAUUAAUGAGAGUGAUCACGGUCUGCAAGUAGAAUCUCAAAAAAUAUGCAACAAAGAUUAAGUGCAGCAACACUAUUUCCGCCUCCAAAUUUCGUCCAGUACUUAAAUCAGAACCAAUUGAUUGACUAAAAACAAAGGAUUUGGAAAAAUAGCACGACAAUUUAAUCUCGAAAAAAUACUCAUUUUUAGGUCUACUAUAAAUCAUUAAAGAGUACGUACAGUUGGUCCUGUCAGCAACGAAGUUCCAGAGUCUGCAAUUGCCGAGCAGCCGCCAGCGCAAAACCUAGAGGACUUUAAAGAUUAGCUUACAGAACUUCGAAAAAAAAAAAUAUAUAUAUAUAUAUAUAAUAAUAAUAAUUUCAUAAGCCACCUGUGGAUUCCCCCGCCAAAUGAGAACGUCACCCAUGUCAAACUGAAAAACAGAGAGAAAUCAACUUGGAAGUAAGGAAACGAUUGCAAGCAUGCAAAGAUGCUGAGGAGCAAGAGGUUUAGAAGGACACCUGCCAAUAACCCUUCUGAGUGACGGGAACAUAGGUGUGCUCGCCCUUGAAAUGGUUGGGAUCAACGCCACCAAAAACGAGUUCACCACCUUCUUCUUCGUUAGCACCACGGUUAAACCAAAAUGAGAAAACCGGGUCUUUCACGAGACCUUGGUUCACCAUGUUGUACCUGAUAUUGGACGAGGAAAAUAACUAUUAACAAAGAAACUUAAAAUGGUCGGUAAAUGACUUCCGUGCUUAGCCAUUAAUCAAGGAGUUCGUGAUAUAGUGCUCACAUCGACCAGAAAACACGAUAAGACUAAUUUUGAUUUGACUACCCAAUUCAAGCUUCCAAUCUUAUCCUACUAAGAUUAAUUUUAGACCCUAUAGUGUUCAGCAUUAUAGCUUCUAUUGGAAAGUCACUCCCACGUCCCACUAACUUACUUCUCGAAUCCUAGAGAUUCAAGAUUCUUAGUGAAUUAAGAAGCAGCUUUGAGUGAGUGUGCUCGUGUUUGUGCAUACCAGACAGGAACAGCAUUGCCAACAGAAAUCUCCUGGAAUCCAAGUCCGAGAAUGCCAUCAAACUUAGCCGCCAAGAACGUGAUGCCCGGUUCUUUUGUAGCUUCGAUAAAAUCCUAACAAGACAAAACUUUUAUGAGUUAUAUCAGGAAAAACUCGGAAAUAAUUCCUAUAUUUUAAUUGUUUCCCACAUGUACCUGAUCCUUUACCAUAAGGUCACCAAUCUGGACAUGAUCUUGGCUGAAAAACCCGGAGAUAGAUCCACUUCCAUAUUGAAUUGCCGCAGAUUUACCUUCACAGAGAAUGGCCAUAUAUGAAAUCUCAAACUAUUUAAAACAUACUGCAGCAUUGAAUGAGACGACAACUAGUAAGCCUUAGUUAGAGAAAGAGCCAUCAGUGCUUGGAAUAAGCUUAUGAAUUUGCAUUUUUCGUAGUCAACUAGAAGAUCUCGUCUCAUUCAUGUAAUACGAAACUAACAUAAAUGCAUCAUAAAGAUCAUAACAAUCAUCAUGAUGCAUUAGCUGCAGUUCAUACACUGCAUAUAUAGUUAAACACGGAUCACCACACGAAAAAUCACUAUGCAUACCAUUCUUCUCGUAGGUGCUUGAAUGGCUCGACUUGUACUUCGAAUGGAAGAGGCAAGCUACCUGGAUCAAUCAUAAGCAGAAAAAUACUAAAAGAACACACAAACAAGGCGACGAGCUUCUCACUAUAGCUACAUUGAACCAAAAAACUCACAGAAAAGUAGCAUUUUGAUGAUGGCACCCAAAGAUUCGAACUCCCAGUGUCGAAAAUCACAGUGAAUUUUUGUGAGGGCGUCCCAAUGCCAAUCUCACCAAAAUACUGAGCAUCCAAAUAGUUCUUCAAAGAAAUGAUAUCAGCACCCGAAUUUACAUUAACACCGCGAAAUUUGUAAUAAUCCUUCACUAAACCCCCCUGCUUCGACUCAAGGCCAACCGAAACCCGAUUAAUCUGAUUCAAUUUCCUCUUCUUUAAUCCAAUCCUCAGCAGCCCAUCAUCACGAGCAGCAAAGGCAGAAUUGAACAGCACAAAGAGGAGAAAAACUGUGGCAAAGCUGUAUCUUUUACCCAUCCCACAAACUGCCACAAAAUCAGUUAAAAUUGAGAGAGAGUGUGUGUAAAUAUAUAAUUAGCUUCAACCCCUAUGAGUUGACUAUAGAAACAGCAAAGAACCUCAGUGAUCAACAUAGAAAAUUAGAAAUUGAGAGUUCUUUUAUAAAGAUUGAAUCUUUACAGAUAAACUUAAAAGGGUUCCUCUCCGAUUAGGGUUUCUGAUAGUGAAAUUCGAAUUCUGGACACCAUGGAAACCCGCGGACAGUGUUCUUGGUCACAAUUGUUGUCCGACAACAUAAAUCCAAACUCAAAAUCCAAUAAAAACUAUGAUUAUCGAAAAAAAAUUGAAUCUUGCACGAAGAUUUGAAGUUUGCAAGAAUUACCUGGAGAAUGCGGCAGAGAAAUUAUAAAACAGAGAAACAAGUGAGAGCUGAAAGUCAACAGUUGGGAGUUUUAACACAGGAUUAGUCGAUUAAGAUGACCAAUAAUUAAAGAAUAUUUUUAUUUCUUUCAAAAGAUAUUCUGUAAUUAUUUAUUCUUCACAGGAAAAACUCUAAAAAACUGGCAUCCAAAUUCCAAAAUGUGGCUGUACAAAAAAAAAAAAAUUCCAAAAUGUGGUACUCCAAUUUCAGAUACUACAAUUUUAUAAUUAAUUGUUAUAGAAAAGUCUGUGCUUAAUUAGUGAUAAUGAUUUAUUAACAGAUAGACGCUAAUUACUUCAGAAGUUCAGAUAAGGAUGCAGCUGUUUAACAAAAUCAGAUACUUAAUUAAUGUUAGCAGUAAAAAAAUGGGACAAUCAGUAUGUUGCACGUGAAUCUCUUAAAAUUCCUAAACAUUCUUGAAAUAAAUUUUUAGAACUCCAAAUAAUAAUAAUAAUAAUAAUAAUAAUAAUAAUACGUGUAGCAUUUGUUUAGUACUAUCUUUUUUUUUUUUUUUUUGAAGAGAUUUGUUUAGUAUCUAUGUUAGACAAUGGACUGAUUAAUAAAAAUAAGAUAAGUAAUGGAGUAGUAUAAUGAAUAGCUAAUAUUACGGGUGAAGUAUGAAAGUUUUUCAAUAAGAAAUAAUGAAAUAAGAAAGAGUUAAAAAAAAUAUACGUGUUCUCUUAAUUAAUAAUUUAAAAUAUCAAAUAUAUAAAUAAUUUUAAAUUAUUUAACUAUUCAGACUUAUCAAUCCUAUUAAAAAUGCAUGUAGUAUUACAGGAGCUCUAUUAUAUUUUGUUUAAAAAAGUGAAACAAUGGGAAUAUUUUGUGAUGUAUUUUAUAGUUAUGUUUUGUUUGGUUUGAUAUUUAGAAAAUAUAAUGAAACAUUGGAAGUUGUGUAAAUAUGAAAUAUUUUGGGCACUAUUUUCAAUUUUCCUUUAGUUUACCCAACAACGCUCAUGUCUAGGGCCCAUUUGGCUGUUGGUGUAGAUAUGAAAUAGUUGAGUUUUUUAUUAUAAGAAUAGAAGUUGGGAAAGAAAAAAAGAAGAAAAUUCUUUUUAAAAAAAAAGUGAAAAGAGGUAUAGAUUAAGCUACAAAUCCAUUUUAAUAUAUAAAUUACGAAUAGAUUAAUUUUAUAUAAAAUAUGUAUGAAUUUAUUAUAAAUAUUAUGAAUUUAAAAAUUACUAAUAUUUUAUGAAACUGGCCCACAAUGACAAUAUUACAAGUAAUUUGAAAAUAAUAAUAUUAAAUGGAAUUAAUUUUUAUUGCUCAUACCAUUGUAAGCAUGAAUAAAGUAUACUCUUCGUCUCAUAAGACUGUGUCUUUUUUGCUAUUUUGAUAUUGUCUCAUAAAAUUGUGUAUUUUUCAUUUUUUGGCAGUACCCCACAAAAUUCCUUUUUUUCUUCUCCGCGUUAUUAAUUUAUUCACAAUUUUAUUACAUAUGAUACCACCACGAAAUCUUAUUUUUUACUCUCUUCAUCCAUGAUAUAAGUGUGGUAUUUUUGUCAUUUUAGUCUGUCCAUAGUCUUUCGCUUUUAAGACAUAUACUCUUAUAUUUUAUCCACAUAUAUUCACACACAAUAUUUACAAAAUAUUCAUCUCACAAAUCAUUUAUUAAUUAUUUAACAAAUCAAUUUUAGUGCGUCUUUUCUCCUCUUUAUACACAUCGCCCAUUUUUUUCUUAAAGUCUGUGUCCUCCAAUUCAUGACGGAACGAGCAUUUCACUGUCAUAACACUACAAUAACAUAGUACUCACCAAGUUUUUAUUAAACUUCGUGCUAUUCGAAAGUGAUGCACAUUUACAAGUGAUGUAUGAAAUUUUGAAUAAGUGAGUUGGUCACAAUGAUCAAGUUGUAUAUACCGUGUUAAAUUGUUAAUGCUUUCACCAAAAUUUCUAGACAACUAGGAGACGUUUUUAUUGACUCCAUACUUGACUGCAAUUAAUGAAAACGACUCCAAGAAAACAAAAAAGGGAAAGUAACAAAAAAAAAAAAUUACCAACUACACUACUAAACAUGCCAAAUAGAGAGAAUAUGUUUGAAUAUUUGAUCGACUUUAUUUUCAGCCCUCAAACUUUUUUUAUUUCAAACUCGUUGGCUCCACACAAGAAUAAUACAAAUAGCAUUGACAAAAAUCUGCAUGAAUUGAAAAGACUCACACACGCAAUCCUUAAAUUUCUCAAUCCGUACAAAAAUGAUCACAUCUUUUCUGUAUAUAUCCUUUUUUUUAUAUAACAUGACAGUUUGUUUUACAAUAUUAUUAUACUAAUAAAAAUUGAGGGUUUACUUUGGCUUAUGACGAUCGCUAGUUGACUUGAAACCCCGAGCUAUUGAGUUUAUUGUUGCCAUUGCUACUAUUAUUACUGCUCGUGACAUUGCCAUUGCCGUUGUUGUUGUUGUUAUUGUUGUUGCCGUUGUUGUUAUUAGGGUUCGGGCCGCCGUUGUUAGGGCUCGGGCCGCCGCCGCCGCCUAUGAGCGAGGAGAUCGCCGCGGCUAGAGCCGCCGUGAAAUUCGGAUCCGUUGCUAGGGCGUUCACGGUCUCACUCAGCUGAUUCUGCUGGCAAGCUUGAUGCAACGACGGCGGCAGCGGCGACGAGAGAUGCUCGUGGGCCCCUUGGUCGAGCUCCUGCGCCGACGACAUUUGUAGGCCGGAGAAUUUUGACUGGUUGUACAACGCCUGGCCGAAGAUCUGCGGCAGAAGGGCGGCCGCCGCGGAGCUGCCGGCAGCCGCCAUGUUUUGCGACGGAUUGAGGAAGGAGAGGGGGAACUGGUUCGAGGGUUUGGGGAAUUGCAGAGGGUUGGGUGAUUGCGUUAGGUCUAAUGUGAUGGUGGGAAAUGGAGCUGAGGCGGAGAUGGUGGCCAUGCUCGAGGAGCAUGGGAGGAGGGUUCGGGCUAGGAAAUUCGAGUUCAUUAUUCCGUCGGCGCUCGGCAUCGAGCCCGAGAGGAGCAUCCUCGCGGCCGAGGAGGUUGUCGACGCCAUGGCCAUGGCGGCCGGCGGCAACGGGUGGUUGUGGUUGCCCUCGUAGGUCGUUAUGAGGAUGCUCGUGUCGUCUGCACAUCUUUGGACCUAGAUUCGAGAUAUGUGAGCAGGGACGAAGUUAGGAUUUUAAAAAUAAAAAGAAUUAUAUUUUCGUAUUUAGAAAAUGCUUGAACGAACGAAAUUAUAAUUAUAUAUAUAAAAAAUCAAUAAUAAUAAUAAUAAUAAUAAUAAUAAUAAUAAUAAUAGAAAAUGAAUGGGGAAUUACCUGUUUUCGGACGGGGCAACCCGCAGCCAUCGUGCAACGGUAGUACGCACGAGGGCACGGGUUGCCCUUAGCCAACUUCUGCCCGUAUUUGCGCCACUGGCAUCCAUCGGUGAUCUAUAACGCAUCAUCAACAAAUCCCAAAAUCAUUAAUAGAAGCGGAAAAAAAAAAUUAAAAUCUAUGCUUCUGAUCCUAAGGGAGCGUUCAUUUUGUAUGAUUGAUAAGAUGCAUGAUUGAGUAUUUUUAUCCUCAAAGUAAAUAAGGGAUUAGUCUUACUAUUUUUAUCUAUCACGACUGAUCCUCCAAAAUAAACGUCCCCUAAAUCAAUAUAGAGUGACAUAAUUUCUCUAAUCAACAUACCAUGGCGGCCUCAGACCUAGCACGGACCGAGACCCGGGCCUUCCUCAUGGUCGCCUCGGUGGCUUGAUCGACACUUCUCGGAGAGUGAGCGAGCUUCUGAACCUUGCUCUCCGAGCAAGGUUCGUCUCCGCCCACGACGUCUUUGUCGGGGGCCGGGGGCAUGUCCCGGCCAAUCCUCCCCUCGGGCGGAGACAACGAGCCCUCCUCGUUGCCCCCGAAGCCGAGGUCCAUGAACUGCCUAGGCACCAAUAGGCCAUUGUCAUGGCCAUUCUUAC